UGGAAUCCAUCUUGCUUGUUCGUAGGAUUUAGAUACCGAUAAUAUGAUGAACAGGAAAAUCUCAUUAUGACAUCUCAUACAAUGCCAAUCCAAACAUAAAUGUGUUACACCUAGUCCUCUUGGGAAAAAGGAUCAUAAUACAGCAUAUAUGCAUUGGAAUGAGCUGAUCACAUGAUUUUGUUUUGGUGAAAGAAAUUAGAAUGUACUAUAACUCAUGUUUUGUUUGUUUUCAAGAUGUAGUUUGGUUUUUAUUUUUUAAUUUUCAAUAGUCUCGGAGGAAUGUGCUUUUUAAUUUUCAAUAGUUUGUUUUGUUUGUUUUCAACUUAUGAUAUGCUUUAUAGUCUCGGAGGUUUGAGCUAAUUGUGGACUAAUCGUCUCGGAGGUUUGAGCUAGAAUCAUUAGUGUCUGGGCUGUGCAUAAUUUUAUCUCUCUCGCAGUCUCGCUUCAAUUUCUCUCUUGAUCAUUAUGGCAUCGUGGGGUAAUAGAAAGCAAUAUGAGGCUCAAAUACUUACAAAGGAAAAUUAUGUUUCACUACAAUAGUUUUGAUCUAUGGCAGCACUGCUUUUCUUCCGUUUAUGUUAUUGAGGUUCACUAAUCUAGAAACAUUAGUACAUAUUUAGCUUCAUCAAAGGGAGUUCUAUUUUCACCCUUAUUGUCUUG
This 660-nucleotide long non-coding RNA is filed under the name Trifolium pratense (red clover). Its description in RNAcentral is "long non-coding RNA (TPRA_LNC001673)". The record is from RNAcentral. Lineage: Eukaryota; Viridiplantae; Streptophyta; Magnoliopsida; Fabales; Fabaceae.